This 299-nucleotide unclassified non-coding RNA is filed under the name Hevea brasiliensis (rubber tree). Lineage: Eukaryota; Viridiplantae; Streptophyta; Magnoliopsida; Malpighiales; Euphorbiaceae. The record is from RNAcentral.
UGGAUUAGUGCUCAACAAGACAACCAAUCAGCUGCUAAGUCAAAGGCAAAAGCAAAAGCAAAAGCACAAGCACCCAUAGAAGCAGAAAGUUCAAGUGAUGAUGGGAGCUUUAUAAAAGACUUCCAAAGUUCAUCAGAGCCAGCAUCGUGCAAAGAGGCUAUGGAGUGGUAUGAUGAAGGGAAUGUGGGAGAAUCAACACAAACAGGUGGCAGAUGCAUAUGGUUAAAAAGAAGGACCUUGUCUUCAACAAACUAGUCUAAUACAGGCAUUACUUUCUCUAGACGGACUAUAAGUAAAAG